AAUUGAUUUCAAUUUUCAAGCAACGAUACUUCAUGUAGGCUAGACCUGAAUUGUGUCUACUGUUUGCAUUAAUAUAAAUGCAUUAGGCAGAAGCAUUUACCACGCAAAAACAUUCCCAUUUGGAAUGAUUCUUGUGUUAGAAUUCAAUUGUAUUCUGUUAUUGAAAGAAUUCAAUUCAGAUAAUUUUGUAAGAUUUCAUGUGUUUGGAAUAAAUUUUAAAAUGUGAAUUCUAUUGUUUCAAAUGAAUGAAAAGUAAAGUGAAUGCGAUUAUAUUCCUAUUUUAUCCUUAUUUACAAAGAAACA
This 303-nucleotide unclassified non-coding RNA is filed under the name Hevea brasiliensis (rubber tree). The record is from RNAcentral. Lineage: Eukaryota; Viridiplantae; Streptophyta; Magnoliopsida; Malpighiales; Euphorbiaceae.